Molecule: small RNA, 105 nt
Filed under: Marmota monax (woodchuck)
Lineage: Eukaryota; Metazoa; Chordata; Mammalia; Rodentia; Sciuridae
Source: RNAcentral
GCUGGGUGCAGUGGCACACACCUGUAAUCCAAGCAGCUCGGGAGGCUGAGGCAGGAGGAUCAAGAGUUCAAAGCCCGCCUCAGUAAUGGUGAGGCCCUGUCUCUA